Molecule: non-coding RNA, 877 nt
Filed under: Trachyrhamphus longirostris (straightstick pipefish)
Lineage: Eukaryota; Metazoa; Chordata; Actinopteri; Syngnathiformes; Syngnathidae
Description: partial 12S ribosomal RNA
Rfam family: Bacterial small subunit ribosomal RNA
Source: RNAcentral
ACCCCUGUGAGAAUGCCCCCAACCCUCUUAUGAGAUCGAGGAGCUGGUAUCAGGCACACAAUGUAGCCCAAAACACCUUGCUCAGCCACACCCCCAAGGGAUUUCAGCAGUGAUAAACAUUAAGCCAUAAGUGUAAACUUGACUUAGUCAAAGUUAACAGGGCCGGUAAAACUCGUGCCAGCCACCGCGGUUAUACGAGAGGCCCAAGCUGACAGACAUCGGCGUAAAGAGUGGUUAGGUAAUUAAAAAACUAAAGUUCAACAUCUUCCAAGCUGUUAUACGCACCCGAAAAAAUGAAAAUCUAACACGAAAGUUACUUUAAAACCCUGAACCCACGAAAGCCAUGGAACAAACUGGGAUUAGAUACCCCAUUAUGCAUGGCCGUAAACAUUGAUGUAAAAAUACCCAACAUCCGCCUGGGAACUACAAACACCAGUUUAAAACCCAAAGGACUUGGCGGUGCUUUAGACCCCCCUAGAGGAGCCUGUUCUAGAACUGAUAACCCCCGUUAAACCUCACCCUCCCUUGUUUUUCCCGCCUAUAUACCGCCGUCGUCAGCUUACCCUGUGAAGGAGAAAUAGUGAGCAAAAAUAGUAUAACUCAAAACGCCAGGUCGAGGUGUAGUAUAUGAGAGGGUAAGAAAUGGGCUACAUUCGCUUACUAACGAACUACGAAUAAUCUGUUGAAACACAAAUUUGAAGGAGGAUUUAGCAGUAAAAGGAAAAUAGAGUGUCCCUUUGAAACCGGCCCUGAAGCGCGCACACACCGCCCGUCACUCUCCCCUAAAACACCAUCAAAACUUAAAUAAAACAACUAAAAAAUAAAGGGGAGGCAAGUCGUAACAUGGUAAGUGUACCGGAAGGUGCACUUGGAAUAC